UCUUAACAAGGUUUCCGUAGGUGAACCUGCGGAAGGAUCAUUA
This 43-nucleotide ribosomal RNA is filed under the name Seirophora villosa. Its description in RNAcentral is "partial 18S ribosomal RNA". It matches the Rfam family "Eukaryotic small subunit ribosomal RNA", at positions 1789 to 1831 of the family's 1831-position model. Lineage: Eukaryota; Fungi; Ascomycota; Lecanoromycetes; Teloschistales; Teloschistaceae. The record is from RNAcentral.